CCUACGGGAGGCAGCAGUGGGGAAUAUUGCGCAAUGGGCGGAAGCCUGACGCAGCGACGCCGCGUGGGGGAUGAAGGCCUUCGGGUUGUAAACCUCUUUCAGCAGGGGCGAAGCGGAAGUGACGGUACCUGCAGAAGAAGCGCCGGCUAACUACGUGCCAGCAGCCGCGGUAAU
Molecule: ribosomal RNA, 174 nt
Filed under: uncultured bacterium
Lineage: Bacteria
Description: partial 16S ribosomal RNA
Rfam family: Bacterial small subunit ribosomal RNA
Source: RNAcentral